This is a long non-coding RNA of Drosophila albomicans, 766 nucleotides long. RefSeq lists it as uncharacterized. The record is from RefSeq and is a predicted model, not a curated record. Lineage: Eukaryota; Metazoa; Arthropoda; Insecta; Diptera; Drosophilidae. The transcript is spliced from 2 exons.
AAGCAUGUAAGAUCCUUUUCCAGUAGGCGUUAUUUUGGCAUUUUUUUAAAUAACAUCCACAAUUUUUAUCUGAUCGAAACCAAAUUAACGUGGAACCAUAACCAAAAAUAACAACUCUAGCUCAAAAAUUAUGCUUGGCGGGAGUAGGCUUGUCAAAAAUAUAUAACAAAAUUGAUUUCUGUGCAAACAUGAGUGUUGUCAAAAAUCAAGCUGAUUCGAAAAUUUCAAAUCAUCAACAGUUGACGUUUUUUUUUUUUGCUUUCUGCGUUGCUAUUACUUUUGAUCGAAGAAUUUCGGAAGUCGUCGGCAGUCUCAGUCGCGAUAUUCAAACGCGUUCGGCUUGUUGCCACUUUUGAUUUUUGUCUCAGCUGCUUACGAGCAGCACCGCAAGUUGAAAAAGCAAAAGCGACAGAUGCGUGAAAUUCACUGUCACGUUCGUUUGCUUCAUUUAAUAUUACUUGUAAUAUUACAGUAGUUUGCUGCUAUACUCACACGUAGUCGGCUACAGCACCAGGUGCAGUGUGUGAUAUUCAAGAUUGUCGUUGUGGCUGGUUCUUGACGUGAUGCAAUCAUUGGACAUACUAAUGUACAUACUCAAUUGUAGAAAUAUGACAAAAUACAUUAGAACAACAUCUAAUGGUUAACGUGAAUUGUUUAAUUUAAAAAAAUUUUAAAUGGUACAACUAGAUUGUCUAACCAGAUGGGGAUCUACUUACACGAUGCUAAAAAACUUUUUGGAUGCUAAAAAAUAUUUAAACUAAAAUAA